UACCGAGUUUACAACUCCCAAACCCAAUGUGAACGUUACCAAACUGUUGCCUCGGCGGGGUCACGCCCCGGGUGCGUCGCAGCCCCGGAACCAGGCGCCCGCCGGAGGAACCAACCAAACUCUUUCUGUAGUCCCCUCGCGGACGUUAUUUCUUACAGCUCUGAGCAAAAAUUCAAAAUGAAUCAAAACUUUCAACAACGGAUCUCUUGGUUCUGGCAUCGAUGAAGAACGCAGCGAAAUGCGAUAAGUAAUGUGAAUUGCAGAAUUCAGUGAAUCAUCGAAUCUUUGAACGCACAUUGCGCCCGCCAGUAUUCUGGCGGGCAUGCCUGUCCGAGCGUCAUUUCAACCCUCGAACCCCCCUCGGGGGGAUCGGCGUUGGGGAUCGGGACCCCUCACACGGGUGCCGGCCCUGAAAUACAGUGGCGGUCUCGCCGCAGCCUCUCCUGCGCAGUAGUUUGCACAACUCGCACCGGGAGCGCGGCGCGUCCACGUCCGUAAAACACCCAACUUUCUGAAAUGUUGACCUCGGAUCAGGUAGGAAUACCCGC
This 548-nucleotide ribosomal RNA is filed under the name Trichoderma sp. MS531. RNAcentral's name for it is "eukaryotic LSU rRNA". The stretch from base 187 to 340 matches the Rfam family "5.8S ribosomal RNA". The record is from RNAcentral. Lineage: Eukaryota; Fungi; Ascomycota; Sordariomycetes; Hypocreales; Hypocreaceae.